RNAcentral lists this long non-coding RNA (1194 nucleotides) under Panax ginseng (ginseng). RNAcentral's name for it is "long non-coding RNA (PGIN_LNC012403)". The record is from RNAcentral. Lineage: Eukaryota; Viridiplantae; Streptophyta; Magnoliopsida; Apiales; Araliaceae.
CGACUUAUAUCAUAGACACGAGCUCCUGAUUUUACAAGAGAUCCCGAUACUUGGUGGUGCAAUCAUUUUGUCAAACAUCUAGUAUUCUUCAGCUGCAUAUAGAAAAGAACAGAUUUUUUUACUUUUUUGUAGAAUAUGCAGUUAUACAUACUAAAAAUGGAUCUACGGAUACAAAAAAGUGGAGAUAAAAAAUAGAGAUAGUGAGACAAAUGUGGUAAAAUUGAAUACGAAGAGGGUUUUAUAGAGGACAGUUUUUUCCGUGUGAUGACUCUCACCAUUGAGAUAAAAGCCCCUUCUUAAAUUUGAAUGUACUGUAGGUAAACUAGAACAAGGCUAUGGAUGCUAGACACUUCAAUUUAGUGUAAAAAUAUUGGCAAAAUUGAGUACAUGUGUCGGACUCUUCAAAGUACCCGUGUUUGACUUGGACACUCUAUCUGAGUCCAUGUAACUUGGAACUAAAUCAUUUCUUUAAAUAUAGUUGAAAAUGAGGCUGUGAAGAACCAUCAAUUGAAAAGCAUGAAUUUUGAUGAAUGACGACAGUCAUCUCAGAUAGAUCUUUAUUCUCGAGAUUAACUUGUACGCAGGAUAUUGAGAUGGUUAAAUGAUGAGGAAGAAAAUUUGAAAGCAGAACACCAACCAAACAUUCAAUUUUUAAUUGUAGAGAUGUCACGUAAGCAAUUUCUUACCUGUUUUUCCCUCAGUUAUAUUACCAUUUUGUUACUGUAUUUUCCUUGGACUAAAUCUCAUGAUUCUUCACCUUUGCAGCCAUUACAGACAUCGACACUAGCGGAAUCCAUGCUUUGGAAGAGCUGCACAGGAGUCUCCAAAAGAGAGAUGUUCAGGUAACUAUAAUUAGUACAUAGAUUUUAUUUACCUUGGCAGAAAGCUCAAAUCUUAGGAGCUAUGUUUCACAGACUCCGGAUGGAGUGUCUGGUUGGAUACGAUAUUUUGUAAAUUCCGACACGAGUGGUCCUCAAAUUUGUUAAUUUUACACUAAAAUAAAGUGUCCAGUACCUAGACCCUUAUAACUCGUUUGAGUGUUGGACAUGGAUACUUUAGGAAACAUUGCUUAUAAGAGAUGUUCGUGGAAAAAUUACCUUAUAAAAUCUUCUUGUUCACAGCUUGUUCUGGCGAAUCCCGGGCAAACAGUGAUUGACAAGUUACAUGCUUCUGGAUUCCCAAGUUUGAUUGGAG